CAGUCGAACGGAGAUUAUACGCAGAGGCGAUUUCGGUCAAAUCAUGUAAAAUCUUAUUGGCGGACGGGUGAGUAACGCGUGGGUAACCUGCCUUACACUGGGGGAUAACACUUAGAAAUAGGUGCUAAUACCGCAUAAGCGCACGAAGCCGCAUGGAUUUGUGUGAAAAACUCCGGUGGUGUAAGAUGGACCCGCGUCUGAUUAGCUUGUUGGCGGGGUAACGGCCCACCAAGGCGACGAUCAGUAGCCGGCCUGAGAGGGUGGACGGCCACAUUGGGACUGAGACACGGCCCAAACUCCUACGGGAGGCAGUAGUGGGGGAUAUUGGACAAUGGGGGGAACCCUGAUCCAGCGACGCCGCGUGAGUGAAGAAGUAUUUCGGUAUGUAAAGCUCUGUCAGCAGGGAAGAAAGAAAUGACGGUACCUGACCAAGAAGCCCCGGCUAACUACGUGCCAGCAGCCGCGGUAAUACGUAGGGGGCAAGCGUUAUCCGGAAUUACUGGGUGUAAAGGGAGCGUAGACGGUUAAGUAAGUCUGGAGUGAAAGGCCGGGGCCCAACCCCGGGACUGCUCUGGAAACUAUUUAACUUGAGUGCAGGAGAGGUAAGCGGAAUUCCUAGUGUAGCGGUGAAAUGCGUAGAUAUUAGGAGGAACACCAGUGGCGAAGGCGGCUUACUGGACUGUAACUGACGUUGAGGCUCGAAAGCGUGGGGAGCAAACAGGAUUAGAUACCCUGGUAGUCCACGCCGUAAACGAU
This 756-nucleotide ribosomal RNA is filed under the name uncultured bacterium. Its description in RNAcentral is "bacterial SSU rRNA". It matches the Rfam family "Bacterial small subunit ribosomal RNA", at positions 59 to 810 of the family's 1533-position model. The record is from RNAcentral.